This is a non-coding RNA of Nicotiana tabacum (common tobacco), 5223 nucleotides long. NCBI's taxonomy places the organism in Eukaryota, Viridiplantae, Streptophyta, Magnoliopsida, Solanales, Solanaceae. The record is from RefSeq and is a predicted model, not a curated record.
AUGGGGAAGGAUUUUCCUCGAGAAAUACACCUCAUCCAAGCAAUAAUGAUGAAGGUUCUACCAUGCGUGACGAUAUUGAUGGACUACUUCAUGAUACAUUUAGAAACAUAGAGGGCCAGGAAGAGGAUGAAGAAGAAGUUGGGGAAAGACUAUCUGAAGAUGCAAAGAAGUUUUUUAAAUUGCUGGAGGAAGGAAAAUAAGAGUUAUAUCCGGGGUGUGAAAAUUUUAGUAAACUGAGUUUCAUUAUUCGAUUGUACUUGCUUAAAUCAUUGCAUGGGUUGAGUAAUGUGGCUUUCUCUGAUUUAUUAGAGUUGAUAAAAGAGGCAUUUCCAUUUGCUCAGGUACCGGAAUCUUUCAACAAGGCUAGAAACAUGAUAAAAGAUUUGGGUCUUCAUUAUGAAAAAAUACAUGCAUGCUCUAAUGAUUGCAUGUUAUUUUGGAAAAAAAAAUGCGAAUACGGAUAAUUGCUCUAUUUGUGGGUCUUCAAGAUGGAAGAGUGUCAGUCCUUUGACUAAAGCAAACUCUAAAAUCCCUAUAAAGGUUUUAAGGUACUUUCCUUUAAAGUCUAGGCUUCAGAGGAUAUUCAUGUGUCCUGAAACGGCUGCUGCAAUGAGAUGGCAUGCUAAUGAGCGACCCAAUGAUGGGAAUAUAAGACAUCCCGCUGAUGGGGAAGCUUGGAAGGCUUUUGAUUCUUUGUAUCCAGACUUCUCUAGAGAUCCUCGGAAUGUUAGAUUGGUUCUUUCAAGUGAUGGUUUCAACCCGUUUCGGACCAUGAGCAUUUCUCAUAGCACGUGGCCUGUUAUAUUAAUGAACUAUAAUUUAUCACCGUGGAUUUGCAUGAAGCCGGAGUAUAUAAUGUUGUCUAUGAUCAUUCCUGGUUCAUCAUCUCCCGGAAAUGAUAGAGAUGUGUACCUACGUCCAUUAAUUGAAGAAUUGAAGGAGCUAUGGGAAACUGGGAUAGACACAUUUGAUGCUGAAACCAACCAAUCUUUCCGAAUGUGUGCUGCCUUAUUGUGGACAGUUAGUGACUUUCCAGCAUUAACAAUGCUUUCAAGAUGGAGUACUAAGGGGAGAUUAGCAUGCCCCACUUGCAAUUAUGACACAUGUUCUCAAUAUCUCAAACAUAGUCACAAGAUGUAUUACUUGGGCCAUCGAAGACUUUUGCCUCGUGAUCAUCCAUUCCGAAGAGAUAAGAAGUCUUUUGAUGGUAAGGAGGAACAUAGACCUGCACCUGCUCCCUUGUCGGUUGAAGAAGUCUUUGAAGAGCUGCUUGAAUUCAACAAUAUCUUUGGAAAGAGCACUAAAAAAAGGCCUCGGAGUGAUAAGGGUCCGUGGAAAAAGAGAUCCAUUUUUUUUGAAUUGCCAUAUUGGGUGCAUAACAAAUUGAGGCACAAUCUUGAUGUGAUGCACAUCGAGAAAAACAUAUGUGAUAGUUUGCUUGGGACUUUAUUAGAAAUAGAUGGAAAAUCAAAUGAUCAUGAAAAAUCUCGCUAUGACUUACAAGAAUGGGGAUACGAAAGGAGUUACAACCAAGAAUAAAUAGUGAUGGAACUAUAAGUGUGGCUAAAUCUUGUUUCUACAUGGAACCAAAACUGAAAAGUUUAUUUUGUACUGUCAUAAAAAAUGCUAAAUUACCAAAAGGGUGUGCUUCGAAUAUUUCAGAACGCAUGCAAGUGAAAGAGAUGAAAAUAUUAGGGUACAAGAGUCAUGACGCUCAUUUUAUAAUGCAUUACUUGCUCCAAGUUGCUGUUAGAAAAGUGUUGCCCAAACAUGUUUUAUUGGCCUUGAUUAGGUUGGAAAAUUUUUUUAGAGCUAUAUGUAGUAAGGUCAUAAGGCAAAGAGAUCUUGAAACAAUACAGUCGGAAAUUGUUGAAAUAACAUGCGAGCUUGAAAAGAUUUUCCAUCCAACAUUUUUUGACAUAAUGCCACAUUUGCCUAUUCAUUUGGUGAAUGAAAUUAAGCUUGGGGGUCCGGCUCAUCUCCGUUGGAUGUAUCCCAUUUAGAGGAACCUAUGUAAGUACAAGGCAUUUGUACGUAAUCGGUCUUGUCCAGAAGCAUCAAUAGCAGAGGGGUUUGUGGCCGAUGAGUGCUUGACUUUUUGUUCGAGAUAUCUACAUGAUGGCGUUAAGACAAAAUUUAGUAGGUACCAAACUGUGGAUGAUGAGUGCUCUCAAAAUUUGUCACCUAUAUUCCCUAAUAUAGGCCAUCCAAUUGGAAGUAAGAAAAAAGAUACUUUUCUCAUGGAUUCGCAGUUAUGCUUUGAAACACAUCAAUAUGCUCUGUUCAAUACUGGAGAUGAACAAAUGGAAAAGUUUAUCGAGGAACAUAAAAAUUUAAUUGUUAUUCAUAGUAGAUCAAAUGCAUGGGUAAGAGCGAGGGAUCACAGUCGAGAAUUCAGCAAUUGGUUUAAACAGAAAGUUAAAAAUAUUGUUGUGCCAGAUUAUUUAAGAUUGCUAGCUAAAGUACCUACUAUGGUAGCCAAAAGAUAUACUACAUAUUUUAUUAAUGGAUACCGAUUUCAUACCAAAGAACGGGAUUCCCGAUGCAAGACUCAAAAUAGUGGAGUGACUUUAUCGGCAAUAACAGAUAGUUUUGCUAGUUCUAGGGACCAAAAUCCCAUCAAUGGUGAGGUUAUCUAUUAUGGAGCGAUUCAGGAUAUCAUUGAGAUUGAUUAUUGGGGUUGUUUUAGGGUUGUACUGUUUAGAUGUGAUUGGUUUCGUAAUGAAAUAGAUGAUUAUGGGUUAACUCGGGUGUACUUCAAUAGAUUAUGCAGUAGAGAUGACCCUUUUGUGUUGGCAUCACAAGUUUAUCAAAUUUUUUAUGUGGAGGAUCCAACUGAGAAAGAUGUUUAUUAUGCGAGGAGCAAAGUACCUGUUGAUUUGUAUGAUCUAGAGGAAGAGAACUGUCCUAAUAUUGGAGACACAUUUUGGAGGGAACCUAAUAAUGACAUUAGUUCCUCAUCUAGAUUACUUGAUGUUGACAUUAGAUGGUCAAGAGAAGACGUACCCGUUGAUAUCAUUGAUACUCCAUCUAAUGCACAAAAUUCACACGAUACAAUAGUGGAAACAUCGGAAGAGGAGGAUGGGUUUGAUGAUACUGAUUGGGACUGGAUGGAAGCAGAUGAUUAAAUAAGAAAAUUCUGAAAUCUUUUAAGUAUAUUCUUUUUAGAGAUUUGAGAUCUGGUAACAUUAUUGUCGAUAUUGAAUUAAAUGAUAGAGAUUUCGGAUACUUUUGUUCGGUUGUUGAGGCCGUCCCUUCUCUCACGUCCUCUUCUGGUUCAGCUGUCCAAGUCUUCAAGUGUGAAGCACAGUUGGAGCUGGAGCUAGUGCUGAAAUGAGUGAUAUUUUGCUGGUUGUAUUUUGAGCGGAGCAUUUUAAAAGACUUGGUCUUAGAAUCUGAAAAAUAUUUGAAUAGUCAUGAAUCAAGAAGGGUGCUCAAGCAAAAAUAAGAAAAUAUUCAACCGCAUUCCAGCUGGAUCACUUGCAUCUUUUCGAAAUCAAAGGGUUUCGUCGUUGACAACAAAAAGAACCUUCCAAGCUACACGUUCUAAUACAAAUGAAGAACGACAAUCAGAAGGUGGAUUACCCUCAUCUUUGCGAAACCAAAAGGUUUCGUCGUUGACAACAAAAACAUUCUUGAAAUCUAUAAGGUCAAAUGCAAAUGAAGAACGACAAUCCGAAGGUGGAUCUCAAUUGCAAGAACAAGUGCAGCAAGUGCCACAGAAUUGCACCUCUUCAGCAACACAAGGAGUACAUGAACAAGUGCAACAAGCGAAUAUGGAUUGCAUCACUCCUGCAUCACAGGGAGUACAUGAACGAUCUGAUGAUUCUACCAAUCAUGAAGCAAUUGAACAAUUUGAGGAACAAGGCAAAUAUAUAUAAAUUUUAAUCAUAAACUUAACUAAAUAUAGUGAUUAAUGAUUAUCUUUGUUUUGUACUAUUGCAGGCCCCUCCUCGCCAAAAAGAAAAAGAGGUCGUACUCAAAUGCCAAGUGUUCAUGUUAGAAAAGAGCGUAAAAUAAUCACUCUAAAUGAGUUUAAUCAACCCAUUGGUCCUACUAAAGAGGUUGUAAAAGAGUUGGGUAGCUUCCUUGGCACAUUGGCAAGGAGUGGGAAUUUUUCUCCUCUUAAUGUAGUUAAUUGGAGGAAACUAGAUACAAAAGAUGAUAUGUAGAAAUAUAUCAAGGAAAAAUAUGACAUUCCUGACGAGGCGAAAAAAUGGAUUUUUGAAUCAGUUUGUAGUGCUUAGAGAAAGUAUAAUAGUCAAUUGAAGAAAACCACUUCACAGCCUAUGAGAAUGAUGAGCUUCGUAUGAAGAAUAGGCCAGUAGAUGUUCCAGAAUCUCACUUUAAGGAUCUUCUUAACUAUUGGAACUCUGAUCCUCACAAGAAAAUGUCCGAAACCAAUACAGAGAAUCGAAAUAAAUUGAAGUGUCCACACACAGAUGGCAAAACACCUUUUGCUCUAAUUCACGAGGAAAAAAGAAGAAAAUCUCUGAUACUUCAGAUACUGUAUCAAGUAAGGACAUAUUUGUGGCUAUAAGAAAAAGAAAACUUGGUCGAGUAUACAAAAGCUCAUAUGACAAUACAAUUAGUAAAAUUGUUGAAAUGGAAAGAAUACAAUCUACUCAGGAAAGUGAAUAUGUCAAUCAUUCAACUGACGAUUUUACAUCAGUCAUGGGACCUGAACAUCCAGGUCGUGUGAGAUUGUAUGGACGAGGGGUUACCAAGACUGUGUUAAAAGGGCAAAAAGGGAAUCUUGGAUCUUCUGAUGAGAGGAUGCAGCAAAAAAUAGAGGAAAUGGAAGAGAGGAUACAACAAAGAAUGUAUGAAAAGUUGAACGGACAAAAGGAUGCUAUGGAACAAAAUAUUACAAUGAACGUCAUCGCACGACUUCAGCAUCUGAACCUAGAUUUGCGACUUGAUCCUGACAUGUUAAGGUUUAGUGCACGUUCACAUGUAGAUACUUCCUCUGCACAACAAGCUAUUGUUCAACUAAACAGUUGACCAUCUACUGGUAGUAACAAUCAAGGUGGAGUAGAUCAAGAAAUGAAUGAUGAAGAACUAGACCUUACUUGAAAUGAAUUUUGUAUUGUUAUAGAUGAAUAUUCUAGUAAUCUUUUGUUACCAACAUUUUUGAAACUUAUUUACUCUUUUGAAAUGUACUAAACUUAUGCACUCAUGGGGUAGAACAUUUGCUUUAUGGAUAAUUUUAUAUUAUUAAUA